AAAAACAUUAGAAAAAGAUGAGUAAUCAGUGCUAGAACUAUCAUAGAGAGCCGGUAUGCUGAAAAACGGUAUAGUUCUAACUGAUGAAGAUGGUCUUUAGUGAUUCUGAAGAUAGUGAGUUUUGAGAAGUUAAAAUAAGCUAUCUACGCUUGAUAUUCGUUAUCAUAUCUAAGCAUAGCUCUUUCUAAGUGUGCUUAUUGAGGGUAGCACUGUGAUGUGCUACUGAAUCAGGGUGGUACCACGUGAAAACAACUCGCGUCCCUAGG
Molecule: non-coding RNA, 266 nt
Filed under: Liquorilactobacillus capillatus
Lineage: Bacteria; Bacillati; Bacillota; Bacilli; Lactobacillales; Lactobacillaceae
Description: Lactobacillus capillatus T-box sequence
Rfam family: T-box leader
About the family: Uncharged tRNA acts as the effector for transcription antitermination of genes in the T-box leader family. T-boxes are found upstream of many aminoacyl-tRNA synthetase genes and some amino acid biosynthetic genes usually in Gram-positive bacteria.
Source: RNAcentral